This 494-nucleotide ribosomal RNA is filed under the name uncultured bacterium. RNAcentral describes it as "bacterial SSU rRNA". It matches the Rfam family "Bacterial small subunit ribosomal RNA", at positions 903 to 1397 of the family's 1533-position model. The record is from RNAcentral.
AAAUGAAUAGACGGGGGCCCGCACAAGCGGAGGAGCAUGUGGUUUAAUUCGAUGAUACGCGAGGAACCUUACCUGGGCUCGAACGGUUAAAGACUUAAUGUGAAAGCAUUAUUCUAUUUAUAGCUUUAAUCGAGGUGCUGCAUGGUUGUCGUCAGCUCGUGCCGUGAGGUGUUAGGUUAAGUCCUGCAACGAGCGCAACCCUUACUUUUAGUUGCCAGCAUGUCAUGAUGGGGACUCUAAAAGAACUGCCGGCGCAAGCCGUGAGGAAGGUGGGGAUGACGUCAAAUCAGCACGGCCCUUAUGUCCAGGGCUACACACGUGCUACAAUGGUCGACACAGAGGGCAGCUACUUGGCAACAAGAUGCGAAUCUCUAAAUUCGAUCUCAGUUCGGAUCGAAGUCUGCAACUCGACUUCGUGAAGUUGGAUUCGCUAGUAAUCGCACAUCAGCCAUGGUGCGGUGAAUACGUUCCCGGGCCUUGUACACACCGCCCGU